AUUUAAAUAGCUUAUAUAGAGCAUAAUAUUGAAGCUAUUAAGGAAAUAAUUUUUAUUUUUAAAUA
Molecule: transfer RNA, 65 nt
Filed under: Ercheia cyllaria
Lineage: Eukaryota; Metazoa; Arthropoda; Insecta; Lepidoptera; Erebidae
Description: tRNA-Phe
Source: RNAcentral